This is a long non-coding RNA of Neoarius graeffei (lesser salmon catfish), 2994 nucleotides long. RefSeq lists it as uncharacterized. Lineage: Eukaryota; Metazoa; Chordata; Actinopteri; Siluriformes; Ariidae. The transcript is spliced from 5 exons. The record is from RefSeq and is a predicted model, not a curated record.
UAAUAGAACGUUAAUUCUUUUGAUACUUAACCUACAAAAUAUUUUUUACCUCAAAUAUACAAUUUUUGAUUUUCGGUGCAAAAUUCAUAUGAAAAUAAAGUGCUCUCAUUGAUUUUAUAAAAGCACUAUCUUAGCGCUAUGCCCAUGGUAUUGACCUCCAACAUUUACUUUUCUAAAUGUAGCCUAUAGGCCUACAAAAUACUAAUUUAUGGGUAUGCAUUUCUCUACAAAUAUAACGAAGCUUUUAUCAGAUUCUAUAUGUGUUGUUCCUUUAUAAAUAUCCACAGUAGGUGUAAAACUGUGUCCAGAAAGCGCUCAGGAAGUGCUUACGCCAAGCGCUAACUUGUUCCUGGGUGCGCAAUUGGUUCUGCAUGUGCGUAGUACUUUUACAACUCUUUUUGGUAAAGGUAAUUUGUAGGGGUAUUUCCUUAAAACUGGCACCCUCAUGUCACAUAAAAAUGCUCGACAAAUAUUCACCCGACUGAAGCGACUCACUAUAUUGAGUCCCCGGGGUGUUCACAAUACUUAAGAACCGCCUCCUUGUUUAAAGUCGUUCGUGCCAUAAAUGUAUGCGUGACAUGUCGGCGGGCAUGUUGAGUCGUUCAUCGAGCCAUGCCACCCACCCCCGGGGGGAGGGGUUAACCGUGAGGAAUUAACGAUACGGCCGAUUACACCGAGCCUCAUCCUCGAACUCGCCAUUCGCGUCGGUGUUCUUGCAUGGUGCAGCAGUGUUCUUGAAGAGCGGAAAAGUGUGCUUGCAGUUGGACGGAUCGCCACAUAGGGCCAAGCCUAAGCUGCAAACCAUCAUUCUUUAGGUAAGUAGGCCCAUUUACAUCCAUUUUAAUUAUUAUAAAGCAGAUUAAAGUGAAAUUCUUGUCCCUAGGCCCUUAGAGGAAUAGGUCGGGUGUUAAUAUCAGUUUGAAUUAAUGAUUUUUAAAAAAUUAUCACUUUGAGUUACAUUGGGGUUAUGCCUUUGGCUUUGCUUUGAAGCAUUUGCAAAUAUGACACUAGGUGGCUGAAAUCAGUGAUGACCAAGGACUAAUGGACGAGAUAGUCGAUUUAAUGUGCAACAAGUCUGGACAAGCUUUUUUUUUUUCUUUUUCCAGGACACCCUAAUACCUAUUUUAUUUUCAUUAUGGUACAAGUCAAAUAUGGUUAUGGGACAGAAACAGCUGGGUCCAUGAGCCGAAUUUCCUGGCAGUGCUGACACCUUACGGCGUGAUAUCACGAGAGACCAGAGAACGGAGGCAUAGGUUCAUAUUUAUUUUAUUUAGUUACUAUAAUCAAGUUAAAUUUCAUGCAAGUCUAAGGAAAACCAGAUUCAUACAAAAGUCAAUGUGCUGUAGAUUUUGUUCUGCGCCCGUUUAAGGCACUAAUGACUCCAGAAAUGCAUCCUAUCAGACAGGAGUUUGCCAGCUUGUUUGGAUUGAAAACAAAAUGGCAAUGGCAUUUUCGGUGGUAUUUCAAGGAUUUUACAUACUUAACAAUGAGGUAACAAUCGGCAACUAACCAAAAUAAAGGUAAUACAGAUCUUAGAAUAGUCCUAGAAUUUGAGAUGGGAAAACGUAAGGUUGCGUCAGCCUGUUAAAUUUUCCGUUUUUGAGUAAAUCCAUUACCUAAUGAAGACUUGGUAAUUUAACUUUGAUACUAUAGGCGAGUGUUUUUAAAAAAAGGGGGAGGUUAUCAUUCAUCAAUGUUAUCAGACCUUAUUUUUCAUAUAUUCCUAGGUUAACACAAAAAUCUUUCAUUAGUGAAAAAACUACAUACAAUGAUUUGUUUCUUCAGUUCCCAUAUGUAUUCAAAAUUCUUACGUGCAGAUAUCAUGGGCAAGAGAGAGCUGCUUACACGAGGGAAUAUCAGAAAAGAAGAAUGGAAUUCUUACGUGCUUGUCAAAACACAGCCAAUAGUCUUGGAGACAAAGAUAAUUCCUCAACAUCAGAUCAUACUGAGAACUCCACCUAUGCUGCUGAUGUUAAUGAUGUGGAAACAAACUCCAAUUUGGAGAUUGACCAGCCAACAAAGAGGCGCAAAAUGAACAAAGGAGGAGAUUGGGACAGACCUGCACUAAAGAAAACAACCGAGCAGACGUGUCAGACGUGCCUAUGAGGAAAGUCCUAACAAUCUAUACCACUCCUCAGCCCAAACCCAGUAGUGUGGGUCCAACCCACACAACACCAAAGUCUGGGACAUCCAGGAGGAUAGAAUACAAAACAGCAGCGAGGACGUCAGAAUGGUCACAGAAGAAGGACCAAAGACCACAAAGAGAGAUGGAUAUUGCCAGUAAGGAAAAAAAAGAAUGGUUAAAUUUAAGCAUUGGGAAGGACACAUCUUGGACAAAUGUCCGAGAUCAAAGAGAUGUUGCGGUCACCAUCAACACGCCUGUCCAAUUUGUAGGAGAAAGGGAAGGGUACUAGCAUAUCUGAUGCUUUGAGAAUUCUGCCGCAACCACUGGAAACAAAGGAGGAGGUUGACACAUUGGAAGACAUGGUCUCCAACAGUGAGGCAAGCUGGAGUGCAGUGCUGACUGUGUGGUGAGCAGCACUUGAGAUGGUCCUGUCCACCUGGGCUUGUUCCACUUCGUCCUUCUGAAGUCCUUUAUCACCACCCAGUCACCAGGUUUCAGGUCAUGCAGUGGGCCCAGCGCCAGAACUGGUUGAUGUGCUGUCCCAGGUUGGCGGACCAAAUCCUGCCCGCCUGGCUGUCAACAUAGUGAACCGAAUGAUGAAACAUAAAGCACAACUGCAUUUCAACAUUAGAGGGACAGGCCAGAAGAAGCCAUCAAAUUGGCCUUCCUGAUGGAGAGGGCCAAUUUAGCUAAAGUUGUCCACAUGACCAUCGUGGACACACUAUGUUCAGCUGGAGCACUAGGCCUUUGGAGGAUACCUACAUACUUGAUAUUUAUUUUGGAAAUUGAUGUGUUUAUCCCAAGAUAUUCAGUGUAAACCCCAAAAACUGACGAUGCUGUUUUAUGAAUGGAAUGAAAGUUUGGUAUGU